UACGGAAUCUUCGGCAAUGGACGAAAGUCUGACCGAGCAACGCCGCGUGAGUGAAGAAGGUUUUCGGAUCGUAAAACUCUGUUGGUAGAGAGGAACGUUGGUGAGAGUGGAAAGCUCAUCAAGUGACGGUAACUACCCAGAAAGGGACGGCUAACUACGUACCAG
This 165-nucleotide ribosomal RNA is filed under the name uncultured bacterium. Its description in RNAcentral is "partial 16S ribosomal RNA". It matches the Rfam family "Bacterial small subunit ribosomal RNA", at positions 355 to 511 of the family's 1533-position model. The record is from RNAcentral.